UGGGGAAUAUUGCGCAAUGGGCGAAAGCCUGACGCAGCGACGCCGCGUGAGGGAUGAAGGUCUUCGGAUCGUAAACCUCUGUCAGCAGGGAAGAACGGUCACUGUGUUAAUCAGCAGUGAAUUGACGGUACCUGCAAAGGAAGCACCGGCUAACUCCGUGCC
RNAcentral lists this ribosomal RNA (162 nucleotides) under uncultured bacterium. RNAcentral describes it as "partial 16S ribosomal RNA". It matches the Rfam family "Bacterial small subunit ribosomal RNA", at positions 355 to 509 of the family's 1533-position model. The record is from RNAcentral.